Butyrivibrio proteoclasticus B316 is the source of this 102-nucleotide regulatory RNA element. It matches the Rfam family "Purine riboswitch aptamer". Rfam says of the family: Riboswitches are metabolite binding domains within certain messenger RNAs that serve as precision sensors for their corresponding targets. The record is from Rfam. NCBI's taxonomy places the organism in Bacteria, Bacillati, Bacillota, Clostridia, Lachnospirales, Lachnospiraceae.
AAUAUAAGCGGGUAUUUUAUCGAUAUAGGUCAAAUAAUAUGGAUUUGAUGUUUCUACCCGGUUACCGUAAAUUACCGGACUAUCGAGUGUUUGAUGCAUAUA